This 299-nucleotide unclassified non-coding RNA is filed under the name Penicillium sp. RNAcentral describes it as "partial contains 5.8S ribosomal RNA, internal transcribed spacer 2, and large subunit ribosomal RNA". The stretch from base 1 to 71 matches the Rfam family "5.8S ribosomal RNA", at positions 84 to 154 of the family's 154-position model. The record is from RNAcentral. Lineage: Eukaryota; Fungi; Ascomycota; Eurotiomycetes; Eurotiales; Aspergillaceae.
GUGAGUCAUCGAAUCUUUGAACGCACAUUGCGCCCCCUGGUAUUCCGGGGGGCAUGCCUGUCCGAGCGUCAUUGCUGCCCUCAAGCACGGCUUGUGUGUUGGGCCCCCGCCCCCCGGCUCCGGGGGGCGGGCCCGAAAGGCAGCGGCGGCACCGCGUCCGGUCCUCGAGCGUAUGGGGCUUCGUCACCCGCUCUGUAGGCCCGGCCGGCGCCCGCCGGCGACCCCAAUCAAUCUUUCCAGGUUGACCUCGGAUCAGGUAGGGAUACCCGCUGAACUUAAGCAUAUCAAUAAGCGGAGGA